UUUGGCGUGGAAUCCAUGUUUUCAGACAUGCCUUAGUUCUUAGAGAAGUUCUAAACUAGAAAUCAAUCUCUUUUUCAUUUGUGGUUUGUUGUUUUAGGUGAGAUGGAUGGCGAGGAACACAGUGAAAUUGAAUCUGCAGUAGAGUUGUUUUGGUGAAGCCUCUCACUGCUGAACUUCUGUUGGAAGCGAUCCAGACAACCAGUUCUAACUGAAAAAUGUGCCUAAACAGUGAAGCACCACCAGAUCAACAGUCCGGAGAUCAUAAAGAGUAGUAUCCAGAUGGCUUCCUGCACUUUUCUCCAAUAACAUAGUUGAAGGCUUCCUCCUACAAUUGUUCAGUCACCUGACAUAAAUGCACCGUAGUUCUGGAAAUGAGAAGGUAUUCCAUUCAUAUGAGUUUUUAGACCAUUUCCACCUUUUUGUCUGGAGAAUUCCACACUUGGAUGCUCAAACUACAUUUUGUUGUUGUUCAAUUUAUAUAGUCCUACAUAGUGACAUUGAUAAUUAGUGGAACAACUAGCUACUGUGCUGGUGAGUUUUUGUUCUGGAGAAGAUAAGUUCAAUUUAUAUAGUCCUACUUGGUGACAUUGAUCAUUCAUGUUAAUUGCACUUCUCUUGUUUCGGGAUGGAAAAAUCAGUACCUUGGAAGACAAGCAGGUGAGCUGUGGCCUGGACUCUGUACUUUGUAUAAAAUGAUAGGAUGAAACCAAAAUCUUAUUUGGUGCUUUAUCUACAAUGUGAUACUCAUUCAAAUUUGUUGUACUGCUCAAGUUGUUUAUAUUCUCAAACUUAAUUCUCAGAAGUGAUCCUUGCUUUCAAAAUUUGUCAGAUUUGAAGGACGUAUUCUAUGAGGAAAAGUUGGGUAAUUUUGAAUUUGUGAAGGAAAUAAC
Molecule: long non-coding RNA, 890 nt
Organism: Magnolia sinica
Lineage: Eukaryota; Viridiplantae; Streptophyta; Magnoliopsida; Magnoliales; Magnoliaceae
Exons: 3
Source: RefSeq, a predicted model, not a curated record